AGAGUUUGAUCAUGGCUCAGGAUGAACGCUAGCUACAGGCUUAAUACAUGCAAGUCGAGGGGAAACGAUAUUGGAAGCUUGCUUCCGAUAGGCGUCGACCGGCGCACGGGUGAGUAACGCGUAUCCAACCUGCCCACCACUUGGGGAUAACCUUGCGAAAGUAAGACUAAUACCCAAUGACGUCUCUAGAAGACAUCUGAAAGAGAUUAAAGAUUUAUCGGUGAUGGAUGGGGAUGCGUCUGAUUAGCUUGUUGGCGGGGUAACGGCCACCAAGGCUACGAUCAGUGGGGUUCUGAGAGGAAGGUCCCCCACAUUGGAACUGGAGACACGGUCCAAACUCCGUACGGGAGGCA
This 353-nucleotide ribosomal RNA is filed under the name uncultured bacterium. RNAcentral's name for it is "bacterial SSU rRNA". It matches the Rfam family "Bacterial small subunit ribosomal RNA", at positions 8 to 350 of the family's 1533-position model. The record is from RNAcentral.